This 1591-nucleotide long non-coding RNA is filed under the name Citrus sinensis (sweet orange). RNAcentral describes it as "long non-coding RNA (CSIN_LNC005165)". Lineage: Eukaryota; Viridiplantae; Streptophyta; Magnoliopsida; Sapindales; Rutaceae. The record is from RNAcentral.
GUGUCAUAGUGUGUGUGUGAAGAAUGAUUCAAUAAUACCUGUUAAAUGAGUAAACAAUUAAAUAACUUAAUAACCAAGUGGAGAGUUCACAAAUUUGAGUAAUUCAAAGAAAACGGAACAAAAACAGCUUACUAUGAAUCUCAAAAUCAAAAUAUAAUACAAUAAGACCUGUACGGCCAAGGCGCAUGUACGGUACAGCAGUAAUAGAGCAAAAUCAAAAUAUAAUACAAUAAGACUAUUAGGAUGCGUCUCAAAAGUCGUGACUCUUUACACGGCCAUCCUAGACAAAAAAGCAAAAUUUUUUUUUGUUUUUUUUAACAAAGAAAGGAAAAGAGAAAAGAGAAAAACAACACACAUAUUUAAAAACAUACGUCAAUUAUCCCCACCCACAACCUAAUCUAAACAUUAUCUUAACAUUUUAUAAUUUUACAAAUAUGCAAAAAAAAAAAGUAAAUAAUAAUAAAAAUAAAAAUAAAAGAGAAUAAUAAAAGAAGAAGAAGAGGCAUGUUAUUGCUAGCCCUCUAGCAAUUAAAGAGUUAUAUUAAAUUAAGAUUUAUAAAAUUCACAUGCAAGUUAAUAGUUGUUUAUCUAUCCUCUAAAUUACCAAAUAAAUGAACUCUCCCAAAUUCCUUUACCACAUUGAUGUUCACUCAUUAUCCAGAAUAUCAUCAAACCUUCUUUUGUGCUCAAGUAAUUAACACAAUACUUAUGGGGCUUCAUUAAAAGAAAAACAACAUUUUCGUUCCAAAAUUCAUUAGAAAUUAUAUCUUUAGGUAAUAGAUUAUUCACACAUUUUUUUUAAAUAUUACAUUUCUAACCCGUGUAGCGAGCUUUAGGUCAAUGACUCCCAGACCAGUUGGCCUUAGGGCACUAGGUGUUGAAGCACCCCUACGGACUUAAUUACUCGGGUUUCUAAUAAACAAACAAUAUAUCUAUUACCCAUGUAGCGAGCUUUAUGCCAGUGACUCCCAGACCAGUUGACCUUAGGGCACUAGGUGUUGAAGCACCCCUACGGACUUAAUUACUCGGGUUUCUAAUAAACAAACAAUAUAUCUAUUACCCAUGUAGCGAGCUUUAUGCCAGUGACUCCCAGACCAGUUGACCUUAGGGCACUAGGUGUUGAAGCACCCCUACGGACUUAAUUACUCGGGUUUCUAAUAAACAAACAAUAUAUCUAUUACCCAUGUAGCGAGCUUUAUGCCAGUGACUCCCAGACCAGUUGACCUUAGGGCACUAGGUGUUGAAACACCCCUACGGACUUAAUUACUCGGGUUUUUAGAUAUAACAAAAUUAAAAACAUUUUUUCUUCUUCUUUUUUUUUUUUGAUUUUUUUUUUGUUUUUUUGUUUUUUUGGAAAUAUACACUUUCUACUACCUUAGAUACUUUUCCUAAUAAAUCAAAAGAACUAAAUGCUGUAAAACUUUAACUUACAACCCACUAGUAUGUGUCAUAGUGUGUGUGUGAAGAAUGAUUCAAUAAUACCUGUUAAAUGAGUAAACAAUUAAAUAACUUAAUAACCAAGUGGAGAGUUCACAAAUUUGAGUAAUUCAAAGAAAAGGGAACAAAAACAACUUACUAUGAAUCUCAAAAU